GAGGCCCUAGUAAACUAAUUACUUAGUUCUGUCAGCACUAAAUAAUGGGUAAAAUCAAAG
This 60-nucleotide transfer RNA is filed under the name Eremias arguta (steppe-runner). RNAcentral's name for it is "tRNA-Asp". Lineage: Eukaryota; Metazoa; Chordata; Lepidosauria; Squamata; Lacertidae. The record is from RNAcentral.